GACGAACGCUGGCGGCGUGCUUAACACAUGCAAGUCGAACGGAAAGGCCCUGCUUUUGUGGGGUGCUCGAGUGGCGAACGGGUGAGUAACACGUGAGUAACCUGCCCUUGACUUUGGGAUAACUUCAGGAAACUGGGGCUAAUACCGGAUAGGAGCUCCUGCUGCAUGGUGGGGGUUGGAAAGUUUCGGCGGUUGGGGAUGGACUCGCGGCUUAUCAGCUUGUUGGUGGGGUAGUGGCUUACCAAGGCUUUGACGGGUAGCCGGCCUGAGAGGGUGACCGGCCACAUUGGGACUGAGAUACGGCCCAGACUCCUACGGGAGGCAGCAGUGGGGAAUAUUGCACAAUGGGCGGAAGCCUGAUGCAGCAACGCCGCGUGCGGGAUGACGGCCUUCGGGUUGUAAACCGCUUUCGCCUGUGACGAAGCGUGAGUAACGGUAAUGGGUAAAGAAGCACCGGCUAACUACGUGCCAGCAGCCGCGGUGAUACGUAGGGUGCGAGCGUUGUCCGGAUUUAUUGGGCGUAAAGGGCUCGUAGGUGGUUGAUCGCGUCGGAAGUGUAAUCUUGGGGCUUAACCCUGAGCGUGCUUUCGAUACGGGUUGACUUGAGGAAGGUAGGGGAGAAUGGAAUUCCUGGUGGAGCGGUGGAAUGCGCAGAUAUCAGGAGGAACACCAGUGGCGAAGGCGGUUCUCUGGGCCUUUCCUGACGCUGAGGAGCGAAAGCGUGGGGAGCGAACAGGCUUAGAUACCCUGGUAGUCCACGCUGUAAACGGUGGGUACUAGGUGUGGGGUCCAUUCCACGGGUUCCGUGCCGUAGCUAACGCUUUAAGUACCCCGCCUGGGGAGUACGGCCGCAAGGCUAAAACUCAAAGGAAUUGACGGGGCCCCGCACGAGCGGCGGAGCAUGCGGAUUAAUUCGAUGCAACGCGUAGAACCUUACCUGGGUUUGACAUGGAUCGGGAGCGCUCAGAGAUGGGUGUGCCUCUUUUGGGGUCGGUUCACAGGUGGUGCAUGGCUGUCGUCAGCUCGUGUCGUGAGAUGUUGGGUUAAGUCCCGCAACGAGCGCAACCCUUGUUCACUGUUGCCAGCACGUUAUGGUGGGGACUCAGUGGAGACCGCCGGGGUCAACUCGGAGGAAGGUGGGGAUGACGUCAAGUCAUCAUGCCCCUUAUGUCCAGGGCUUCACGCAUGCUACAAUGGCUGGUACAGAGAGUGGCGAGCCUGUGAGGGUGAGCGAAUCUCGGAAAGCCGGUCUCAGUUCGGAUUGGGGUCUGCAACUCGACCUCAUGAAGUCGGAGUCGCUAGUAAUCGCAGAUCAGCAACGCUGCGGUGAAUACGUUCCCGGGGCU
RNAcentral lists this ribosomal RNA (1346 nucleotides) under uncultured bacterium. RNAcentral's name for it is "bacterial SSU rRNA". It matches the Rfam family "Bacterial small subunit ribosomal RNA", at positions 28 to 1381 of the family's 1533-position model. The record is from RNAcentral.